This 253-nucleotide ribosomal RNA is filed under the name uncultured bacterium. RNAcentral's name for it is "partial 16S ribosomal RNA". It matches the Rfam family "Bacterial small subunit ribosomal RNA", at positions 524 to 776 of the family's 1533-position model. The record is from RNAcentral.
UACGAAGGGGGCUAGCGUUGUUCGGAAUUACUGGGCGUAAAGCGCGUGUAGGCGGUUGUCCAAGUCGGGUGUGAAAGCCUUGAGCUCAACUCAAGAAAUGCACUCGAUACUGGGCGACUAGAGUGCCGGAGAGGAUAGUGGAAUUCCCAGUGUAGUGGUGAAAUACGUAGAGAUUGGGAAGAACACCAGUGGCGAAGGCGGCUAUCUGGACGGUUACUGACGCUAAGACGCGAAAGCGUGGGGAGCAAACAGG